GUGCACGCUGGCGGUAGGCCUAACACAUGCAAGUCGAACGGCAGCACAGUAAGAGCUUGCUCUUACGGGUGGCGAGUGGCGGACGGGUGAGGAAUACAUCGGAAUCUACUUUUUCGUGGGGGAUAACGUAGGGAAACUUACGCUAAUACCGCAUACGACCUACGGGUGAAAGCAGGGGAUCUUCGGACCUUGCGCGAUUGAAUGAGCCGAUGUCGGAUUAGCUAGUUGGCGGGGUAAAGGCCCACCAAGGCGACGAUCCGUAGCUGGUCUGAGAGGAUGAUCAGCCACACUGGAACUGAGACACGGUCCAGACUCCUACGGGAGGCAGCAGUGGGGAAUAUUGGACAAUGGGCGCAAGCCUGAUCUAGCCAUACCGCGUGGGUGAAGAAGGCCUUCGGGUUGUAAAGCCCUUUUGUUGGGAAAGAAAAGCAGCAGGUUAAUACCCCGCUGUUCUGACGGUACCCAAAGAAUAAGCACCGGCUAACUUCGUG
RNAcentral lists this ribosomal RNA (491 nucleotides) under uncultured bacterium. Its description in RNAcentral is "partial 16S ribosomal RNA". It matches the Rfam family "Bacterial small subunit ribosomal RNA", at positions 29 to 507 of the family's 1533-position model. The record is from RNAcentral.